AACGAACGCUGGCGGCAGGCUUAACACAUGCAAGUCGAGCGCCACGGAAGGGGUGCGGUGGACUGGUGAGUAACGCGUGGGGACGUAACCUUAUCUUCGGGAUAGCCCUGGGAUACUGGAAUUAAUACCGAAUGUGCCCUUUGGCGGAAAGGUUUAUCGUGUAAGGAUCGGCCCGUGUUGGAUUAGCUAGUUGGUGGGGUAAGGGCAUGCCAUGGCGACGAUCCAUAGCUGGUCUGGGUGGAGGAUCAGCUACAUUGGGACUGCGACACGGCCCAAACUCGUACGGGAGGCAGCAGUGGGGAGUAUUGGACGAUGAGCGCAAGCCUAGGCCCGCCAUGCCGCGGGAGUUAUGAAGGGCUUAGGGUUGUAAAGCUCGUUCACCGGAGAAGUUAAUGACGGUAUCCGGAGAAGAAGCACCGGCUAACUACGUG
This 431-nucleotide ribosomal RNA is filed under the name uncultured bacterium. RNAcentral's name for it is "partial 16S ribosomal RNA". It matches the Rfam family "Bacterial small subunit ribosomal RNA", at positions 29 to 507 of the family's 1533-position model. The record is from RNAcentral.